Molecule: ribosomal RNA, 167 nt
Filed under: Drosophila huichole
Lineage: Eukaryota; Metazoa; Arthropoda; Insecta; Diptera; Drosophilidae
Description: partial 16S ribosomal RNA
Source: RNAcentral
UUUUCUUUUAAAAUAAUAAUUUUUCAAAUUAUUUCAAUUUUCUUUUACAAUACUAUUAAACUAUAAUUAAAAUUAUUUUUUCUUUAAACAAUACUAAAACUUUUUACUAUAAAAUUAUUUUUAAUAUUUAAAAAUAUAAAUAAAUUAAAUUAAUAAAUAAAAUUUAA